GACGAACGCUGGCGGCGUGCUUAACACAUGCAAGUCGAACGGAAAGGCCCCUUUGGGGGUACUCGAGUGGCGAACGGGUGAGUAACACGUGAGUAACCUGCCCUUGACUUCGGGAUAACUUCAGGAAACUGGGGCUAAUACCGGAUAGGAAUCCUUGCUGCAUGGUGGGGGUUGGAAAGCUUCGGCGGUUUUGGAUGGACUCGCGGCUUAUCAGCUUGUUGGUGGGGUAGUGGCUUACCAAGGCUUUGACGGGUAGCCGGCCUGAGAGGGCGACCGGCCACAGUGGGACUGAGAUACGGCCCAGACUCCGACGGGAGGCAGCAGGGGGGAAUAUUGCACAAUGGGCGGAAGCCUGAUGCAGCAACGCCGCGUGCGGGAUGACGGCCUUCGGGUUGUAAACCGCUUUCAGCAGGGGCGAAGCUUGUGGUGACGGUACCUGCAGAAGAAGCGCCGGCUAACUACGUG
This 465-nucleotide ribosomal RNA is filed under the name uncultured bacterium. RNAcentral describes it as "partial 16S ribosomal RNA". It matches the Rfam family "Bacterial small subunit ribosomal RNA", at positions 28 to 507 of the family's 1533-position model. The record is from RNAcentral.